AGUGAACGCUGGCGGUAGGCCUAACACAUGCAAGUCGAACGGCAGCACAGUAAGAUCUUGCUCCUACGGGUGGCGAGUGUCGGACGGGUGAUAAAUACAUCGGAAUCUACUUUUUCGUGGGGGAUUUCGUAGAGAAACUUACGCUAAUACCGCAUAUGACCUACGGUUGAAAGCAGACGAUCUUCGGACCUUGCGCGCUUGAAUUAGCCGGUGCCGGAUUAGCUAGUUGGCGGGGUAAAGGCCCACCAAGUCGACGAUCCGUAGCUGGUCCGAGAGGGUGAUCAGCGACACGGAAGAUGAGAAACGGGCCAGAUACCUAAGGGGGGCAGCAGUGGGGAGUAUUGGAGAAUGGGGGCAAGCGUGAGCCAGCCAAACGGCGUGGGUGAAGAAGGCCUUCGGGUUGUAAAGCCAGUUUGUUGGGAAAGAAAAGCAGGAGGUUAAGACCCCGCUGUUAUGAAGGUACCCAAAGGAUAAGCACCGGAGAACUUCGU
Molecule: ribosomal RNA, 491 nt
Filed under: uncultured bacterium
Lineage: Bacteria
Description: partial 16S ribosomal RNA
Rfam family: Bacterial small subunit ribosomal RNA
Source: RNAcentral